GAUGAACGCUGGCGGCGUGCCUAAUACAUGCAAGUCGAGCGAACGGACGAGAAGCUUGCGUCUCUGAUGUUAGCGGCGGACGGGUGAGUAACACGUGGAUAACCUACCUAUAAGACUGGGAUAACUUCGGGAAACCGGAGCUAAUACCGGAUAAUAUUUUGAACCGCAGGGUUCAAAAGUGAAAGACGGUCUUGCUGGCACUUAUAGAUGGAUCCGCGCUGCAUUAGCUAGUUGGUAAGGUAACGGCUUACCAAGGCAACGAUGCGUAGACGAGCUGAGAGGGUGAUCGGCCACACUGGAACUGAGCCACGGUCCAGACUCCUGCGGGACGCAGCAGUAGGGAAUCUUCCGCAAUGGGCGAAAGCCUGACGGAGCAACGCCGCGUGAGUGAUGAAGGUCUUCGGAUCGUAAAACUCUGUUAUUAGGGAAGAACAUAUGUGUAAGUAACUGUGCACAUCUUGACGGUACCUAAUCAGAAAGCCACGGCUAACUACGUG
This 497-nucleotide ribosomal RNA is filed under the name uncultured bacterium. Its description in RNAcentral is "partial 16S ribosomal RNA". It matches the Rfam family "Bacterial small subunit ribosomal RNA", at positions 28 to 507 of the family's 1533-position model. The record is from RNAcentral.